Molecule: long non-coding RNA, 521 nt
Filed under: Heterocephalus glaber (naked mole-rat)
Lineage: Eukaryota; Metazoa; Chordata; Mammalia; Rodentia; Bathyergidae
Description: lncRNA (ENSHGLG00100049444.1)
Source: RNAcentral
UGUUUGCCCAGCGGGUGAGCAGUAAGCUUUGUGCUUAUUCCUGGCUCCUGGAGAUCUGCCUCCAGGGAAACGCCUUCAGGGUCACAGUGAAAUCUCUGUGGCAGCUAAUAAAGAAACCCGUCUGCCUCUGGAACCCUGACCUGGGGAGGUGCAGGCUGGACUCCUCCUCCUCUCUGUCGCCAGACGAAGCAGAAAGCCAUGAUGCAGAGGUCAAGAAGCUGAGCCAAUCCCAGCGGCAUCUGGAGACUGGAGCCCAGGGAAGCUGCAACAGUGAGCUCAGCCUUAGCCGAGGAGCUGCAUGGCCUAGAGAGGAGCCUGGUGUGACCGCUGGACACGGGCUUACGAUUGCUGCGAUAAAAAAACUACCGGGAUUAGGGCAGUGCCAAACCAAUCACUUAUGCACAGUGGUUUAGGAAACACGCCCUUAAUCCUAGCAUCACACAUUCCAGAUUUAGCUACGUUAGACUGCAAGAGGCUUUGGGGGGGGGCACACGACACGGACAUCCAGACACAGCCACAAG